RNAcentral lists this ribosomal RNA (221 nucleotides) under uncultured bacterium. RNAcentral describes it as "partial 16S ribosomal RNA". It matches the Rfam family "Bacterial small subunit ribosomal RNA", at positions 28 to 250 of the family's 1533-position model. The record is from RNAcentral.
GACGAACGCUGGCGGCGUGCUUAACACAUGCAAGUCGAGCGGUAAGGCCCUUUCGGGGUACGACGAGCGGCGAACGGGUGAGUAACACGUGGGUGACCUGCCCUCAGCUCUGGGAUAAGCCUGGGAAACCGGGUCUAAUACUGGAUAUGACUCCAUGACGCAUGUUGUGGUGUGGAAAGCCUUGUGCGGCUGAGGAUGGGCCCGCGGCCUAUCAGCUUGUU